RNAcentral lists this ribosomal RNA (119 nucleotides) under Lottia gigantea (owl limpet). Lineage: Eukaryota; Metazoa; Mollusca; Gastropoda; Lottiidae. The record is from RNAcentral.
GUCUACGGCCAUACCACGUUGAAAGCACCAGUUCUCGUCCGAUCACUGAAGUUCAGCAGCGUCGGGCUCGGUUAGUACUUGGAUGGGUGACCGCCUGUGAAAACCGAGUGCUGUAGAAG